This 1720-nucleotide long non-coding RNA is filed under the name Homo sapiens (human). RNAcentral's name for it is "HSALNT0110649". Lineage: Eukaryota; Metazoa; Chordata; Mammalia; Primates; Hominidae. The record is from RNAcentral.
UCAUUUUCCCUAUUUUCACUUUUAUCCAAGCCCCUUUUAUUUAUUACAACAUGUGCAUUGCAUUGCAAUCCAGAGGUCAAACUAAUAUUUAAGGAGAAAAGCAAAAAUAAAAAUACAUGACAUAAAAAUAAAUAACGCUUCUUUUCUGUCUGCAAGAUCAGUUUAUAUCCAGCCAGAAGUUUGUUGUUCCAGAUAAUACCCGUCAAAUGUUGAAAAUAUAUACCGACAUAGUGCCUAGAGCUUUAGAUAAGAAUAGUUCUAAUUGUAUGAAUGCAAAACUACAUUGCUCUAUCCUAGAAAACUUUCUCUAGGCUUCUCUAUUUGCUAGACAAUGAAUGUAAACACUUAAUGUUUAUUGAGCAGGAUUUAUGAAGCUGUCAGUGAACUGACACAUGGCAAUAAAAUGUAUUGUGGCUGGAGCCUAGAUAAUCUGCAGCUGAAUGAAUUACGUUAAUUCUGGUGCUUGCAUAUUCAUGCUAUGGAAAUAGUUCUUGUAACAGAUUUCUUCAUUGUCUGCAGGUGUUACAGCGUGGUUAGAAGUAGAGUUAAUUGCACUCUAGGACUUGUGGGAAUUCACACGUCCCUGGAAUUGGCUUGUUUUCUGGAAGAGUAUUCAUGAUUUGUGUAAGGAAGCCAACACACUCAUAAUUAAAUGAUCACAACUGCAAACACUUAACUUUUGAAAAGGUAUUUAAAAUACAUAUAGGUAUUUCUUAGUAUUAUGUUAAUAUUAAAAUUUUAUCUUCAUCCACCUUCCAGUUAACACAUACAUUUGUAUUCCAAAUUUAACAUCACUUGAUAAAAUUAAAAGCUUUGAUUAUGCUUCUACAGUUAAGCUAUAUGCAUAGUUGCUAUACCUCCUAGAUAAAUAAGAUUACCUAGUUUUGUAAACUUAAUUAGAAGAGAUGUUCUCUCUCAUGGGGCAUAAUUAAAAGUAAAGUGUUUUAUUUACUUCAGCAGAAAAUACAUUAGAGCAUCUCUGAAAGGAGAGAAAUUAAUCAUAGAAAAGAUGCACAUAUUAUUUCAUUACAGUGACCCAGUGUUCACAACUGCAUUUCAGGGUUUAUUUGGAAAAGUGUGUCAAUUUUCUGAAUUUUACAUUGGGCAAUAAUUAGAUAAUUGUUGAUGUUAUUGUUAAUUUUUUAAAAAUUUAGAUUUAUGUUUUUUUCAUCCAAAGUCUGUUUUUAUCCAAGUCCCAUUUAUUUUUUCUGUUGCAGAUCUUACUUGCCCUAGAGAUAUUUUUCUUUGAUGGGUUCUUCUGUUUAACAGCAGCAAAUAUUUCAAGAACUAUUGGUAGAGCAAUAUACUACGUAUAAGGGAAGCAGAAAAAAAAAUUGUCAUACUGUAAAUAAGAUAAAGGGAAACAGCUUUCUUCUCUGAGGGUGCCAGAAAAGCAGUAUCCAGACACUGAAGAGAUCACACAACUUGAGAGAAGUCUGCACGUUUUCAACAGAAUCUUGUACUAGGAAUAUGCUCUGGAGAAUAUAGAGGGGUAGAUGGAAGCAGACUUGUUUGUAAGCACAGGUGACUCCUGAGAGUCUCAGAAAUGCUACUCAUGGUCAUUAAAGGAAGAUGGAAAACCUGGAUUUGCAUGUGGAAGCAAUGAACUAAAAAAAAAUGUUGUUUCCAUUAUUUACACAUGUAACAUAUACAUAUAAACUGAUGAACCUACAUAAUUCCAAGUUAUCUAUGUAUUUAUCUACAUAUUUAUUGUACUUCA